AUUAUUAUUAUUUCUAUUAUUAUUUUAUCAAGGUGGAGAGUCUAUGUUGAGAGUGGUAGCCUGGAUAUAUCCUGGGAUUGUAAAUCUAAUCUAGAUGAAUCUUGUUCAGCCUCCUCGCAGUGUAAUAAUAAGAACACUGAGUGUGUGUAUGGAGAGGGCAGGAUUGGAAAAUGCGUUUGCUCUGGGUUCUACCACCAGUACAUGGGUACAUAUCCAGGAUCUACCACCAGUACAUGGGUACAUAUCUAGGAUCUACCACCAGUACAUGGGUACAUAUCUAGGAUCUACCACCAGUAGAUGGUACAUAUCUAGGUUCUACCGGCCACCAGUUCAUGGGUACAUAUCCAGGAUCUACCACCUGUACAUGGGUACAUAUCUCUAGGUUCUACCACCAGUACAUAGGUACAUAUCUAGGUUCUGCCACCAGUACAUGAGUACAUAUCUAGGUUCAACCACCAGUUCAUGGGUUCAUAUCCAGGCUCUAUCAGAAGUACAUGGGUGGAUAUCUAGGCUCUGCCACCGGUACAUGGGUACACAUCUAGGUUCUACCACCAGUAUAUGGGUACAUAUCUAGGCUCUACCACCAGUACAUGGGUACAUAUCUAGGCUUUAACACCAGUACAUGGGUACAUAUCUUGGCCUUACCACCAGUUCAUGGGUACAUAUAUAGGUUCUGCCACCAGUACAUGAGUACAUAUCUAGGUUCUGCCACCAGUACAUGAGUACAUAUCUAGGCUCUACCACAAGUUCAUGGGUACAUAUCCAGGCUCUAUCAGAAGUACAUGGGUAC
Eurytemora carolleeae is the source of this 790-nucleotide long non-coding RNA. RefSeq lists it as uncharacterized. The transcript has 3 exons. NCBI's taxonomy places the organism in Eukaryota, Metazoa, Arthropoda, Copepoda, Calanoida, Temoridae. The record is from RefSeq and is a predicted model, not a curated record.